RNAcentral lists this ribosomal RNA (466 nucleotides) under uncultured bacterium. RNAcentral's name for it is "partial 16S ribosomal RNA". It matches the Rfam family "Bacterial small subunit ribosomal RNA", at positions 28 to 507 of the family's 1533-position model. The record is from RNAcentral.
GACGAACGCUGGCGGCGCGCCUAACACAUGCAAGUCGAACGAGCGAGAGAGAGCUUGCUUUCUUGAGCGAGUGGCGAACGGGUGAGUAACGCGUGAGGAACCUGCCUCAAAGAGGGGGACAACAGUUGGAAACGACUGCUAAUACCGCAUAAGCCCACGACCCGGCAUCGGGUUGAGGGAAAAGGAGCAAUCCGCUUUGAGAUGGCCUCGCGUCCGAUUAGCUAGUUGGUGAGGUAACGGCCCACCAAGGCGACGAUCGGUAGCCGGACUGAGAGGUUGAACGGCCACAUUGGGACUGAGACACGGCCCAGACUCCUACGGGAGGCAGCAGUGGGGAAUAUUGCACAAUGGGGGAAACCCUGAUGCAGCGACGCCGCGUGGAGGAAGAAGGUCUUCGGAUUGUAAACUCCUGUUGUUGAGGAAGAUAAUGACGGUACUCAACAAGGAAGUGACGGCCAACUACGUG